UCUCUUCUCUUCUCUUCACGUUCUCAGAAAUCCCUAAAUUGAAAAUCCCAAAUUUCACAUUCCUCAGGGCUCAGUGACUCAGUCUUUUCACCAGCCCUUGCUCGCCCCUCAUCUGCAUUAUUUUUCCAUCAUCGACGGCGACACGGCGUUCUUUUCACCAGCCACUGUGAGAAUCACAGUCCACAGUCCACACAAGGUAAGUAACACUGUUUAUCUUGUUUCACCGCCUCCUGCACACAACACACAACAACACUGUUUAUCUUGUUUCUCCAGUCUUCAAGUGGGUUUUUUUUUGUCCCUGUCCGUUUCUUAGUCUGAUGUUAAUGUUAGUUUGAUUGAAUUCACAGGCUCCAACUUUGACUGUGCUCAGUGCUCAUUGGCCAUUGCUCACUGCUCAGAACAGACUCGACAGAGGUAAGCUUCCGUUUCUCUGCUCACUGCAAUAAUUUCUUACCAUUUCGUUUCUUUACAGUUUAAUGUGAAUUUUAGUGUGCUACUGUGACAAUGUUAAUAUUCUAGUGUGCUACUGUGACUGUCAUAGAAAAAAACGGAAUGGAAGUUACUUUAUUACAUUAGAGCGGAAACACAUUGCAGAGUACUCCCCAAGCUCAAUCCCAUGGUACCAUUAUUUGGAAUGAAAAUCUGGAAGUGUUUGUAUGUUUUAACUUGUCAAAACAAAAGUAUAAUUCUAAAUCUGGAAAUGCUACUGAUAUAUCCUACAUUCAAAUUAAGGUGCUUGUUGCCGAUGUUAAGGCUCAAGGCUAUUGCUUUCCAUGUUGGAUUUGGCCGGCCAGUUGGUUCAUCUUGGCCCUUCAGAUUCUUAUUGAAGUAAAUCUACGGCAGCAUGCUUUGCCAAGUUUUUAUUUUGCUGGGGGAGCGGGCUUGGCCUUGCGAAUUAACCAUAAACUGCUACACGGUUAUUUGAUUCUGAGAUGUUCAUAAAGUUCAUGGUUGAUUCCUAGCAUACUACAGAACAAAGUUCUGAGCUAUCCAGAUCAUGAGUGUUGGUUUUCUUCGCACUGCAGAUCUUCUUUACAUCAGUUACAUCUCAUUUCCAC
RNAcentral lists this long non-coding RNA (1058 nucleotides) under Populus tremula. RNAcentral's name for it is "long non-coding RNA (PTRE_LNC003250)". Lineage: Eukaryota; Viridiplantae; Streptophyta; Magnoliopsida; Malpighiales; Salicaceae. The record is from RNAcentral.